This 606-nucleotide ribosomal RNA is filed under the name Ophiognomonia setacea. RNAcentral describes it as "LSU rRNA". It matches the Rfam family "Eukaryotic large subunit ribosomal RNA", at positions 24 to 647 of the family's 3401-position model. The record is from RNAcentral. Lineage: Eukaryota; Fungi; Ascomycota; Sordariomycetes; Diaporthales; Gnomoniaceae.
UUUNGGCCCCGCUGAACUUAAGCAUAUCAAUAAGCGGAGGAAAAGAAACCAACAGGGAUUGCCUUAGUAACGGCGAGUGAAGCGGCAACAGCUCAAAUUUGAAAUCUGGCUUCGGCCCGAGUUGUAAUUUGCAGAGGAUGUUUAUGGUGCAGUACCUACCGAGUUCCCUGGAACGGGACGCCACAGAGGGUGAGAGCCCCGUCUGGUUGGAUACUAAACCUGUGUUAAACUCCUUCAACGAGUCGAGUAGUUUGGGAAUGCUGCUCUAAAUGGGAGGUAAAUCUCUUCUAAAGCUAAAUACCGGCCAGAGACCGAUAGCGCACAAGUAGAGUGAUCGAAAGAUGAAAAGCACCUUGAAAAGGGGGUUAAACAGUACGUGAAAUUGUUGAAAGGGAAGCGAUUAUGACCAGACUUGUGCCGUGUGGCUCAUCCGAGGUUCUCCCCGGUGCACUCCACACGGCUCAGGCCAACAUCGGUUUUCGUUGGGGGAUAAGAAUAGUAGGAACGUAGCUUUCUUCGGAGAGUGUUAUAGCCUAUUAUACGAUACCCUGACGGGGACCGAGGACCGCGCUUCGGCUAGGAUGUUGGCGUAAUGGUCAUUACCGA